UACAGAGGGUGCGAGCGUUAAUCGGAAUUACUGGGCGUAAAGCGUGCGCAGGCGGUUUUGUAAGCCAGAUGUGAAAUCCCCGGGCUUAACCUGGGAAUGGCAUUUGGGACUGCAAGGCUGGAGUGCGGCAGAGGAGACUGGAAUUCCUGGUGUAGCAGUGAAAUGCGUAGAUAUCAGGAGGAACACCGAUGGCGAAGGCAGGUCUCUGGGCUGACACUGACGCUCAUGCACGAAAGCGUGGGGAGCAAA
Molecule: ribosomal RNA, 249 nt
Filed under: uncultured bacterium
Lineage: Bacteria
Description: partial 16S ribosomal RNA
Rfam family: Bacterial small subunit ribosomal RNA
Source: RNAcentral